This 66-nucleotide transfer RNA is filed under the name Elephantulus edwardii (Cape elephant shrew). Its description in RNAcentral is "tRNA-Trp". Lineage: Eukaryota; Metazoa; Chordata; Mammalia; Macroscelidea; Macroscelididae. The record is from RNAcentral.
GAGGUUUAGGUUACAUAAGACCAAGAGCCUUCAAAGCUCUAAGCAAGUUAAAUUACUUAACCUCUG